CCCUGGUGACUCAGAUGGUAAAAAAAUCUGCCUGCAAUGCAGGAGGCCCAGGUUCGAUCCCUGGAUCAGGAA
Molecule: transfer RNA, 72 nt
Filed under: Ovis aries (sheep)
Lineage: Eukaryota; Metazoa; Chordata; Mammalia; Artiodactyla; Bovidae
Rfam family: tRNA
About the family: Transfer RNA (tRNA) molecules are approximately 80 nucleotides in length.
Source: Rfam by way of RNAcentral